GACGAACGCUGGCGGCGUGCUUAACACAUGCAAGUCGAACGGCAAGGCCCUGCGUUUUUGCUGUGCUCGAGUGCCGAACGGGUGAGUAACACGUGUGUAACCUGCCCUUGAUUUUGGGAUAACUUCAGGAAACUGGGGCUAAUAUCAUACAGGAGCUCCUGUUCCGUGGUGGGGGUUGGAACGUUUCGGCUGUUGGGGUUGGAUUCGCGGCUUAUGAGCUUGUUGGUGGGCUAGGGGAUUACCAAGGCUUUGACGGGUAGGCGGCCCGAGAGGGGGACCGGCCACCAUGCGCCUGAGAGACGGAGCAGACUCCUACGGGAGGCAGCAGGGGGGAAUAUUGCACAAUGAGAGGAAGCCUGAUGCAAAAACGCCGCGUGCGGAAUGACGGCCUUCGGGUUGUAAACCGCAUUAGCCUGUGACGAAGCGUGAGUGACGGUAAUGGAUAAAGAAGCACCGGCUAACUACGUG
RNAcentral lists this ribosomal RNA (468 nucleotides) under uncultured bacterium. Its description in RNAcentral is "partial 16S ribosomal RNA". It matches the Rfam family "Bacterial small subunit ribosomal RNA", at positions 28 to 507 of the family's 1533-position model. The record is from RNAcentral.